RNAcentral lists this ribosomal RNA (200 nucleotides) under uncultured bacterium. RNAcentral's name for it is "partial 16S ribosomal RNA". It matches the Rfam family "Bacterial small subunit ribosomal RNA", at positions 29 to 256 of the family's 1533-position model. The record is from RNAcentral.
AACGAACGCUGGCGGCAUGCCUAACACAUGCAAGUCGAACGAACUCUUCGGAGUUAGUGGCGCACGGGUGCGUAACGCGAGGGAAUCUGCCCUUGGGUACGGAAUAACUCAGAGAAAUUUGUGCUAAUACCGUAUAAUGUCUUCGGACCAAAGAUUUAUCGCCCAAGGAUGAGCCCGCGUAAGAUUAGCUAGUUGGUGGG